This 452-nucleotide ribosomal RNA is filed under the name uncultured Skermanella sp. Its description in RNAcentral is "bacterial SSU rRNA". It matches the Rfam family "Bacterial small subunit ribosomal RNA", at positions 8 to 507 of the family's 1533-position model. Lineage: Bacteria; Pseudomonadati; Pseudomonadota; Alphaproteobacteria; Rhodospirillales; Azospirillaceae. The record is from RNAcentral.
AGAGUUUGAUCCUGGCUCAGAACGAACGCUGGCGGCAUGCCUAACACAUGCAAGUCGAACGAGGGCUUCGGCCCUAGUGGCGCACGGGUGAGUAACGCGUGGGAACCUGCCCUGUGUACGGAAUAACUCCGGGAAACUGGAGCUAAUACCGUAUGUGUCCUGCGGGACAAAGAUUUAUCGCCAUGGGAUGGGCCCGCGUAGGAUUAGCUUGUUGGUGGGGUAACGGCCUACCAAGGCAACGAUCCUUAGCUGGUCUGAGAGGAUGAUCAGCCACACUGGGACUGAGACACGGCCCAGACUCCUACGGGAGGCAGCAGUGGGGAAUAUUGGACAAUGGGCGCAAGCCUGAUCCAGCAAUGCCGCGUGAGUGAUGAAGGCCUUCGGGUUGUAAAGCUCUUUCGCACGCGACGAUGAUGACGGUAGCGUGGGAAGAAGCCCCGGCUAACUUCGUG